CGGCCGCGUCGACGGCGACGAUCGGUAGCUGGUCUGAGAGGACGAUCAGCCACACUGGGAUUGAGACACGGCCCAGACUCCUACGGGAGGCAGCAGUGGGGAAUUUUUCCGCAAUGGGCGAAAGCCUGACGGGGCAAGACCGCUGGGGGGGAGAGCUCGUUGGUUACGUUAACCCUUUCUCGUGGACGACAGUGGCGAGGUGCGUGGCAGACGUAGGUUGACGGUCCGAGNGUCGGUGGGGCAGACGGCUACUUCCCGUGGUACGUAACCUUUGGUUGGUCUAUUUAGGCGUACCUUCCAGAGAGCUCGACCCGUAAGUCGGUGGGCGACGAGCACAGGAGGUAGUG
Molecule: ribosomal RNA, 347 nt
Filed under: uncultured cyanobacterium
Lineage: Bacteria; Bacillati; Cyanobacteriota
Description: bacterial SSU rRNA
Rfam family: Bacterial small subunit ribosomal RNA (bases 1-143)
Source: RNAcentral